Molecule: small nucleolar RNA, 69 nt
Filed under: Macleaya cordata
Lineage: Eukaryota; Viridiplantae; Streptophyta; Magnoliopsida; Ranunculales; Papaveraceae
Description: Small nucleolar RNA snoR101
Rfam family: Small nucleolar RNA snoR101
Source: Rfam by way of RNAcentral
GUCUUACACUUGAUCUCUGAACUUCAGGUAAGUUUAUAUGUUGACAAGUUAGUUCACAUUACUGAUGCU